UGAGUAACCUGCCCUUAACUCUGGGAUAAGCCUGGGGAAACUGGGUCUAAUACCGGAUAUGACUCCUCAUCGCAUGGGUGGGGGGUGGGAAGGCUUUAUUGUGGUUCUGGNUGGGACUCGCGGCCUAUCAGCUUGUUGGUGAGGGUAAUGGGCUCACCAAGGCGACGACGGGUAGCCGGGCCUGGAGAGGGGUGACCGGGCCACACUGGGACUGAGACACGGCCCAGACUCCUACGGGAGGCAG
RNAcentral lists this ribosomal RNA (244 nucleotides) under uncultured bacterium. Its description in RNAcentral is "partial 16S ribosomal RNA". It matches the Rfam family "Bacterial small subunit ribosomal RNA", at positions 118 to 351 of the family's 1533-position model. The record is from RNAcentral.